CACACACGCUCACACACACAGGCCUAAAGAAACAUGAUCUCACAAAAGGCUUAAUUUUUAGCCAGAACACAGUGUUCUCCUGCCAUCCAGUGAGAGCAGCAAGGGGAGCUGAAAAAAGCCAGGAACACUUUGUCAAGACUACUACACUACACCUCAGCACAGCAACAAGUCAACAUCUUGUUUGAGUUUAGCCCUCAGCUGCUGAUGGCACACUGUACAGAGAUCUGCUCCUGCUGGGUUUUUACAACUUUAUUGGAAGGUCUCACGAAAGACUGCCUAACUCCAGAUUAUGUAACCUCUGCUUUUCACCAAGUAGGUAUGCAGUAGUCUCCAAGUCCAAACUGAGACCCCCCCCCCACAAUCCUGCCUCCAUUCCCCUUGGCUCUCCAACUGGAUGGGAUUACGUAAGUUGUUGGUCUGAACCCUUGGCAGCGUCCUGGGAUUUUUAUUAACUGUGCUGUAUAUUAUUUUUAUACCCUCUAGUGCAGCACUAGUGAUUGCCAGCCCUGUCAUCCCAACACCCUCUGCCAAGGUGAACAUGGCAGAAGGUCACAGGAUGCCAACACAUAAACACUUGGAACACAUUCAUACACAUAGUACAAAAUAAUGCAGUCUUUCACUCAUACAUGUAAACUCACUAUAGUAGGUGUUCCCAUCAUCACUGAUUUUCACAUUUUAGCUCUGUGAGAGUUGUUCAGAUGCUGCAAUUAGCAUAACAUUGAAGAUGAUAAGAAGAAAUUGCUAUUUGACAGAAGUUCCUCUUUGGCAGAUUCCGAAUGACAAAAUUUGUAUUGUCAAUUGUCUCAAAACAACAUAUCCAGUUGCAGGAAAAAAGUUUUAAAAAAGAUUUACGCAGAAUUGCUCAGAAAAUGUGAUCUGAGCUUCAUCUAGGUCACAACAAUAGGCAAACACAGUCUGCUUAUAUCUUUUCAUGUUUUUAUUGAACACACUGUGUAAACAUUCACAGUGCAGGGUGCAAAAAGUAUGUGAACUCUUGGAUUUAAUAACUGGUUGACCCUCCUUUGGCAGCAAUAACUUAAACAAAAUGUUUCCUGUAGCUAGAGAUCAGACCUGAACAACGGUCAGGAGGAAUUGCGGACCAUUCCUCUAUACAAGUCUGUUUCAGUUCAGCAAUAUUCUUGGGAUGUCUGGUGUGAAUCGCUCUCUUGAGGUUAUGCCACAGCUUCACAAUCGGGUUGAGGUCAGGACUUUGACUGGGCCACUCCAGAAGGUGUAUUUUCUUCUGCUGAAGCCGUUCUGUGCUUUGGGUCAUUGUCCUGUUGCAUCACCUAUCUUCUAUUGAGCUUCAAUUGGCAGACAGAUGCACAAUUUCUUUAUAAACUUUGGAAUUCAUUCUUCCGUCGACAAUAUCAACUCUUCCAGGCCCUGAGGCAGUGAAGCUGCCCCAAACCAUUACUCCCCCUCCACCAUACUUUGCAGUUGGGAUGAGGUUUUGAUAUUGGUGUGCUGCCUGUUUUCCUAGGCACAUAGGGUUGUGUUUCCUUCCAAACAACUCAAAUGUGGA
Long non-coding RNA from Micropterus salmoides (largemouth bass), 1525 nucleotides. RefSeq lists it as uncharacterized. NCBI's taxonomy places the organism in Eukaryota, Metazoa, Chordata, Actinopteri, Centrarchiformes, Centrarchidae. The record is from RefSeq and is a predicted model, not a curated record. The transcript has 3 exons.